GAACGCGAAGAACCUUACCUGGUCUUGACAUAGUAAGAACUUUCCAGAGAUGGAUUGGUGCCUUCGGGAACUUACAUACAGGUGCUGCAUGGCUGUCGUCAGCUCGUGUCGUGAGAUGUUGGGUUAAGUCCCGCAACGAGCGCAACCCUUUUCCUUAUUUGCCAGCACUUCGGGUGGGAACUUUAAGGAUACUGCCAGUGACAAACUGGAGGAAGGCGGGGACGACGUCAAGUCAUCAUGGCCCUUACGACCAGGGCUACACACGUGCUACAAUGGUCGGUACAAAGGGUUGCUACCUAGCGAUAGGAUGCUAAUCUCAAAAAGCCGAUCGUAGUCCGGAUUGGAGUCUGCAACUCGACUCCAUGAGGUCGGAAUCGCUAGUAAUCGCGGAUCAGAAUGCCGCGGUGAAUACGUUCCCGGGUCUUGUACACACC
RNAcentral lists this ribosomal RNA (434 nucleotides) under uncultured bacterium. RNAcentral describes it as "bacterial SSU rRNA". It matches the Rfam family "Bacterial small subunit ribosomal RNA", at positions 957 to 1391 of the family's 1533-position model. The record is from RNAcentral.